AUCCCAACCUCGUUCCCAGGCUCUUUGCUCUUGGGAAGCAAAGAAAGAGCCUGGGAACGAGGUUGG
RNAcentral lists this microRNA precursor (66 nucleotides) under Paramuricea clavata. Lineage: Eukaryota; Metazoa; Cnidaria; Anthozoa; Malacalcyonacea; Plexauridae. The record is from RNAcentral.